UUACGGCCACAUCACAUUGCAACACCAGUUCCCGUACGAUCACGGAAGUUAAGCAAUGUCGAGUCUGGUCACUACCUAUAUGGGUGACAGCUUGGGAAUACUAGGUGCUAUAA
This is a non-coding RNA of Acanthosepion pharaonis, 113 nucleotides long. Lineage: Eukaryota; Metazoa; Mollusca; Cephalopoda; Sepiida; Sepiidae. The record is from the annotation of a GenBank genome assembly.